Molecule: non-coding RNA, 3125 nt
Organism: Microcebus murinus (gray mouse lemur)
Lineage: Eukaryota; Metazoa; Chordata; Mammalia; Primates; Cheirogaleidae
Source: RefSeq, a predicted model, not a curated record
GCAAAUAGAGACAGUUGUAUUUAUUUCUUUUCAGUAUGAUAUCUUUUACUCUAUUGUUCCUGUCGCUUUUGACCUUUCUUAUCCUACUGCAUUUUUCUGUAGUUACCAUCACCAAUCCUACUUGUUGUUUGUCUAUUUAUAACUGCCCUAACUAAGAUGUAAGCUCCCAGAGGGCUGGCACUUUCUCUCUUCUGUCCAUUGCCUUCCCGGGUUCUAGAACCAAGCCUGGCACAUGACAGGUAUUCAAUAAACAUUUAAGAUCUGAGUUAGCUUUCAAGGUGAAUCCUCCAAAGGGGGAUCUUCCUGAUCUCAGCAUGCUCUCAACACUUAGCCCCACCUUCACUUGAAGCCAGAGCUUAGUGGGAGAAGUUCAGGGCAUCUAGUACCAUUAUGCCAGAAUAUACACUUUUUCAGAAGUCAGCACAAGGCAUUGCAAAAACAAACAAAGACAGACAAACAAACAACAAAACUUCUUUCUGUCUCUACUCAAAGCAAGUCAACUUGCAUCUCAGGCUCCAAGAUGGAGGUCUACAAGGUCCUUUACUGCUUCUUCCACCUUAGUGAUUGCAUCUUUGUCUACCACCUGACAACCAAGGGCUGAGGGACCCCUUGUGGCCACAAAGUAAUGGCAUGAGCUAAGAGGCCUUUCAAAUAUAUUAUACUGUGGCAACAACCCUGGGUUGAGAACUCACUCAAGAGUUGCCAUGGCCACUGCUUUGGACACAUUCCACCUGCACAAAGACCUGCCCACAGGCCACCCCAUCAUCUUUCCUGCCAAUAACCCCUCCCUAGCCAGUAUUUCUGUUGCUUCCCUUGAAUUAUCCUUUUAUCAUUAUAAAAAAAGAGCAUUAAUCAGAGGAAUGAAGAGUGAUGGAAGAGGGUUCUGUAAGGCUAAAAAGAACCAAAGAAGAGCUAGUCUGGAGAAAAGAGUGAGUGGUUUGGGCUCCAUGGCACCAACUUUACUUUGAUCGUACCUAUCUUUGAAUGAAAAUAUUGACUGAGCCUGAAUCUCCAAGAUUUCAUCCCUGCCUUGCAAGUUUUAAGAUCCAGUGAAUAAGGAAAUCUCAAGUUCUGGAAGAGACAUUGGAGGUCAUCUGAUUUCCAGUCCCUGCAGAAGCCAGACAGGUUUUCAAGAUUUGGCAAUUAAGAUGAUGACACGGGAAAACCAUUGUUCACCAGGCAAUUGCAGUUCUACUUGGCUUUUCACUGGAAAAAAACUUGCCGUGUGUAAUUUCUGAGGAAGCAUCAUUAUUAUUCCGCAUCCUCUUGCUUCAGUUGUUAAGUAAAUAUAUAUGUAGACAACCUCUGGAUGAAGGCAUUGUUAACUUGAAGACCAUUUUGACAGUCCAAGGGAAUCAUAAUUAAAUCUGUCAUCUCUUUAUAACUUGUAUCACAAAUGAGAAAAAAUUAAGAAUAACCGGAUCCAAAAUUUAAGUGUAAAAUAAAUUUAUCUGCUUGAAAAGAUGAUACUUAAACAAAGACACUGAUGUUUUGAGGUGUUCAAAUAAGAGAAAAAUAAUGUGGUAUUAAAAUUCAGCAUACCACUGGUGACUAAUAAGCAUGUAAUAGAAAGUGUGAUCCUGACAUAUUGAAAUGCAGGAAGAGGGAAGAGUGCGAGAGCUGCUGGCCAGGCAGGGACAACACCAUUUCUGCUUUGUCUCCAGAGAAAGAACCUAAGAUGAACACAGACGGGAGCAAGAGAAAUCAAUGCCCACUUAUUUUAAGGUGUGAUUUUAUGUGCAGGAAAGAUGCUCACAGGAGUGCUAUGCAUUUAUUUGUCUGACAAAGACUAGAGCUGUGGUCACAGCCUUGACCUGGGAGGGAUUGAAUUAGCUUUGAAGUUAUUGUUCUGGGCCUCUGAAUAACUUCUAGUCUGCUGUUCACUGAAGAGCUGAGGAAAGUGCAUUCACACACAUAAUGAAACCUCUUCUAUCAUCAAGUUUUUAUUUACCUGUCAAGCCUGAGCAGCCAAAUGAACUUGGGAAAUUACUGAGAAAAUGAGGGGAGUGCAUGAUGGAUGCUUAAGGCAGGUCUGUGAUUUCGACCACCUUAAAGACAGACAAACCUUUUGGAGCAUUACUUCAGGAAAUCCCAUUGGAAAAAUCAUUUGGAGUAGUUUUUAUUUUGGGGUUUUUUUUGGGGGGGCGGGUAGGGACUUGGUGCUGACUCCAUUUGGAACAAACAUUUAAAUCUUUUGGAUGCUAUUUUUGAACAAAAAUUUUUUCUUACAAAUUUCACUCAGAAAGAGUUGAGAUGAAAGAGAGGAGCCCUAAAAUUAUUUUGCCAAUUCCAAACCUUCAAACCCCAUUGGAAUAUUUUUAUUGGAAAGCGUUACCCAAUUUGGUUACAAUCUUUCUUUCCACAACAGUGGACUACCAGGCUAAAAAUCAACCAGGUCGUGAUAGGGAGGGAGUGAAACUUCUUUUGUAAUCUGGUAGAAACUAGUGAAAAAUAAAAUUCAAUAAAGUGUCUAAAUCAGACCCUCAUGGAUCUCUGAAGUUCUGAUUCAUUGUCAAAACCCAGUCUAAGAAAUUUCUUUAAUUGCCAGGCAGUCCGUUUUGGAGAACAAUCUCCUCAGACACACACUCCCUAUAGCCAAAUGCUCAAAUGAUUCAUUCACCAAUUUCUUGCACCAACUUCUGCCAGAAAAUGGUUUUAAUGUCCUACUAAGCGAUUGGAAUUUCUGUUGAUAUAUCUGAUAAUGUAAAAAAUACUGUUGCCAUUGGGAAUCAAAGAGAAUCAAAGACAUUCUUCCCAGGAAGACCAAAUGGUAUGCCAGCUGUCUCAGGUGUCUGGCUUUUAGCAAACUUGGAAAGUCUGUGGUCCCUUGGGUGAAAGGCAUUUUGAUGAAUUGUACAUUCAAUAGGUACCUGGCACAUCAUAGUCCAUACCAUUUCUUUUCCAAACCACCACCGUCCACAAAAUAAAUUGUCCAAAUAGGUAUCUUCCGUGUUUUAGUCAAACAAAGACAUGUGAGGCAAUAAAAGCCACUAGAAAGAAAAAUACUUUCAAUUAGAAGAUGUCCCCCCCCCAAAAAAAAAACUUUAGUUAUUUGCAUGUCACUAUCGAGACCUUUGCCAUGUCCUAAGACCACUGUACUAUUAGGCGGAACCAUAUAAACUUAC